Molecule: ribosomal RNA, 485 nt
Filed under: uncultured bacterium
Lineage: Bacteria
Description: partial 16S ribosomal RNA
Rfam family: Bacterial small subunit ribosomal RNA
Source: RNAcentral
AUUGAACGCUGGCGGCAGGCUUAACACAUGCCAGUCGAGCGGAGAUGAGGUGCUUGCCCCUUAUCUUAGCGGCGGACGGGUGAGUAAUGCUUAGGAAUCUGCCAUUUAGUGGGGGACAACAUUCCGAAAGGAAUGCUAAUACCGCAUACGUCCUACGGGAGAAAGCCGGGGAUCUUCGGACCUUGCGCUAAAUGAUGAGCCUAAGUCGGAUUAGCUAGUUGGUGGGGUAAAGGCCUACCAAGGCGACGAUCUGUAGCGGGACUGAGAGGAUGAUCCGCCACACUGGGACUGAGACACGGCCCAGGAUCCUACGGGAGGCAGCAGUGAGGAAUAUUGGACAAUGGGGGGAACCCUGAUCCAGCCAUGCCGCGGGUGGGAAGAAGGCCUUAUGGUUGGAAAGCACGUUAAGCGAGGAGGAGGCUACUGAGACUAAUACUCUUGGAUAGUGGACGGUACUCGCAGAAUAAGCACCGGCUAACUCUGUG